GUUGGGUGUGGUGGUGUGCACCUGUAAUACAAGCUACUCAGGAGACUAAGGCAGGAGGAUCACAAAUUCAAGGCCAGCAUGGGCAAUUUUGUGAGACUCUGUCUCAA
Molecule: small RNA, 107 nt
Filed under: Marmota monax (woodchuck)
Lineage: Eukaryota; Metazoa; Chordata; Mammalia; Rodentia; Sciuridae
Source: RNAcentral